This 1050-nucleotide long non-coding RNA is filed under the name Monodelphis domestica (gray short-tailed opossum). RNAcentral's name for it is "lncRNA (ENSMODG00000029974.2)". Lineage: Eukaryota; Metazoa; Chordata; Mammalia; Didelphimorphia; Didelphidae. The record is from RNAcentral.
AUGGCGAGGGGAAUCAGAGCUGAGGGAGGAAUCAGGAGGCCCGGGGCCAGGGGAAGCCUUGGCCUUGAUGUUGUGUCGAGAAAAAGCCUUAGCCCUCAUCAGGUUGAUUUGAGGACUCUUAGUCCAGGCGGGGAAGGCAGGGGUGUGGGGGCGGGGGGGAGGAGAGGCCGCAGACUCCUGGAAGAUUUGGGAAGACUGAGCCGGGAGCAGGCUAACAGAGUAGUCAAUGGAGUCGGCCCGGAGGACUUCAGGCGGCAAAUUGGCCUCAGACUUGACAAUGGUGGGGAUUCCAGGAAGAGGAUCAGUCACGACUAUGGUGGAGACCCGCAUGUGCUCCGAAGAGGAAGCAAAAAGAGCUCAGAGCCUGUUCACAACCAGGUUAAAUACCCCGUCUCGCUCUCGGCCCAGGCAAGUUAGAGGAACUCUAUGGACAGCAGAAUGUCAAGAGGCCUUUAACCACCUAAAAUCAUAUUUGGGAAGUUGUACAUAAUGCAGUAUUUGGAUGGCAUAUAUAGGCACUGGUUUCACUUCCCAGUUCUGCUAACUGUUCCAGUGAAGAAACACAGGGAUAAUGGUCUUUUAACAUAUCUGGUAAUUUACAAAACUUCUCCUGAAGACGUCGAGAACGCCUCACUGGUGUCAGAAACUUCAAGUCUUUAAACGAAGCACUAUUUUCAUCAAAAUUCAUCUUCUUUUUUACACUUUGCAAGUAUGGAGUAGUUGACACAUUAUAUUUAAUAACAUAAGACCCGCUGGUUUCCUUAUCAGGAGUCUCUAAAACACUUGUUGAAUCUUCCGCUUCAUCCUCUUGCUCUCUUUCAACCAUCUGUAGUUUUACAUUCUUUGUAUUAUGAUCUUUAUCUUUUGAUUCUGAAUUUUCUUCUGCUGAUGUCUCAUCUACAUCAACUUUAUCCUGAUUUAUAACUUCAUCACAUAAUUUUUUGAUCUCUUCGUUAGCUGAACAAACCUCAUCAACAUUCUCCCCAUCAUUACCCUUCACUUGACUCUUCAUCGUUAGGAUAUCUGCAAGUGCAUGUCGCAUUUCUUCCA